AAUUUCAGCGUUCUUUCUGCAAUGGAAACAAAUAGCAUAAAAGAAUACUACAUGUUCUCAGAAUGAAAUGCUAUCUUCUGCUUUAAUUCCUAUGUUCGACAGCCUAGUAGUGACCUCACAGUGGAUUCUGUGAUGAAAACUAUGCUGCAGCUGGAGACUCGAGUCUCCAGUCAUGUGGAGUGCUAUCUCACACCUGUGCUCACGAAGCCAAUGUGUGUGCUUCCCUUUGCCUCAACCCCUUCAGGCUUUAGUUCCUCACAACUUUGGGCUGGGAAGCAAGAACAGGAUUCUUGAUUCUUCAGGGGAUACUCAGGUGGAGGAGGAAGAAGAAAUCAGCAUUUGGAGACAAUAAAAUGGGAAAGCCUAUCAUCUAGACCUGCUUCGUCCAAAAUUAUGGGCUUGUUCUGAGAAACAACAUUUUGUGAAACAAAUGAGUGUGAUGUUUGCUGACCCUGAAGGAGUUAAAAUGGAGAAACAGUAUCCCCGUGGCCUCGGAUAAUUC
This 502-nucleotide long non-coding RNA is filed under the name Equus caballus (horse). RNAcentral describes it as "lncRNA (ENSECAG00000056499.1)". Lineage: Eukaryota; Metazoa; Chordata; Mammalia; Perissodactyla; Equidae. The record is from RNAcentral.